This 77-nucleotide transfer RNA is filed under the name Nitrospirota bacterium. Its description in RNAcentral is "Nitrospirae bacterium tRNA-Pro". It matches the Rfam family "tRNA". From Rfam's summary of the family: Transfer RNA (tRNA) molecules are approximately 80 nucleotides in length. Lineage: Bacteria; Pseudomonadati; Nitrospirota. The record is from RNAcentral.
CGGGGCGUAGCGCAGUCUGGUAGCGCACUCGUUUGGGGUGCGAGUGGUCGCUGGUUCAAAUCCAGUCGCCCCGACCA